UGCACAUGGAUGUUUGUUUCUGACUGUGAGCAAGAUCUCCACCGGUGAUGGCAUGUGUGGGUUUGGGUGUAGGGAGGUGGAGGGUCUUCCAGUAAGCUGUUGCAUGUACGUGAGGGUAUGUGGUUACGGGUGAUUUCUGAGGAGCUGUUGCAUUUCUGCACGCGGUGAUUUGAGGAGGUGUACGAAAGACAGUCUCCCAGAUGCAGUUGCACGCGUGUGUUUGUGUGUGGAUGAAAGGUCUCCCCCACCUCCUGUUGUAUUUUGACGUGUCCAUUUUCUUAGCAAACACUGCAGGGGCAUGUGUCAAGGUGUAGUUUCCCACGGCUGUUGCACAUACCUGUGUCAGUAGGUGUACAGUUGUUGCAUGCGUAUGUGUGUGUAUGUAGCUCCUCAGGAGCUGUUUCUUGUACCUGUAUCGUUCCUAGAAGCUGUCGUAUUUUCAUGUGGGUGGCUUGAUUCUGAGAAGCUGUCGCCUCUGUGUGUGUGCGUACGCGAUUCCCCAGCAGCUGUUACUUGUGCGUGUUCCUGGGAAGCUGUUGUAAGUUGUGUGUAGCUCUUCAGCAGCUGUUGCAAGGAAAUUGUGAGCGUGUGUGUGUGUGUGCGUGCAAUUCCCCAGCAGCUGUUGCAUGUGUGCUCAUGUCUCCGGUGGAGGCCCACCCCUUUCUGCCUGCACCGGAGUGGUGGCUGUGCAGGCGAGGAGAGCUCAGAGCUGGCUCCAUGGGAGAGGGUUCUUCGCCCGUCACAGCCUUCCCAACUGGGAGAAGCAGUGCCGGCUCCGGUCCCAGAGCCCUAUCAGCCGAGCCUGUGGCGAAUUAAUCACUCGUGUUUUAAAUGCCAAUACAGCCCUUUCUGCCUUCUUCCCCCAGUGAUGCGGAUGCGGCGAAGGCAGCAAAUCCUCCGGCUGUGCGUGUCCUCCCUGGACUGCUGCUCCGUCCCCGCCUGUCGUGCUCGCCUGUGUGCGUGGCUGGGAAUGCUGCCUAGGUGCAGCCGGGAAUGAGAAAGCUGUGGGGCAGGGGACAGCACAGCUCCGAGGGGUGACACAAGGUGGGGGAUACACCCCCCCGCCACGCACACAUCCGCAGGGCUGCAAGUUGCUUGAAGACAGGGGUCUUUUGUGCCUCCACUUCAUCUCUGUCAUGCCUCGUAUGGAAGCCGGGAGCGAUCGCCCCUCCAGAAGCAGAAGACGAAGUCGUUCGCAAUGAAUCCAUGGCAGCUUCGAUCGAGCGGUGAGCUGGAGCACCUACUCACAGGCCACUCCUUGAUGUGACCGAAGAGAGGCCUUUCCCAGCGCUCGCUGAGGAACGCAGAGCCCUGGAUUUACCUCCCGCGCACCCGGGCACCCCCAGCACAGGCACGGCGAGCUUGGAAACAGUCUGGAGCAAAGUUUGUUUCUCACUGAACAUAUUUGCAGCACCUAGGAAACCAGAGGCCCAAUAUCAGUUGUGGCCUCCAUGUACUCUGCUACUAAGACCAUCGAAAGAGGCAGAGCAGUGAAUACGUGGGAAAAAAAAGAUUGAAAUCUGGACUGAGCAAGAACAAAGGAAAGAUUCCAGUGACAGAUGGAUCUCUCUCGUGCGCACUUGCUCUUUCCCUCUGUAUUUUUUGUUUUCGACAUGUUUGAUCUGAAGCUCUGAAGCUUCUCGGAGGGAACCCGGGAGAGAAGGAGGAGAAGGAGGAGGAACUGAGGGAGCGUGAGCGACAGAGGAGGCAGCCCUGCCUUGUUCUUCCAAAUCACACCGUGGAGGGGCGGGGCAAGACUAGA
Molecule: long non-coding RNA, 1762 nt
Organism: Harpia harpyja (harpy eagle)
Lineage: Eukaryota; Metazoa; Chordata; Aves; Accipitriformes; Accipitridae
Exons: 4
Source: RefSeq, a predicted model, not a curated record